RNAcentral lists this ribosomal RNA (468 nucleotides) under uncultured bacterium. Its description in RNAcentral is "partial 16S ribosomal RNA". It matches the Rfam family "Bacterial small subunit ribosomal RNA", at positions 28 to 507 of the family's 1533-position model. The record is from RNAcentral.
GACGAACGCUGGCGGCGUGCUUAACACAUGCAAGUCGAACGGAAAGGCCCUGCUUUUGUGGGGUGCUCGAGUGGCGAACGGGUGAGUAACACGUGAGUAACCUGCCCUUGACUUUGGGAUAACUUCAGGAAACUGGGGCUAAUACCGGAUAGGAGCUCCUGCUGCAUGGUGGGGGUUGGAAAGUUUCGGCGGUUGGGGAUGGACUCGCGGCUUAUCAGCUUGUUGGUAGGGUAGUGGCUUACCAAGGCUUUGACGGGUAGCCGGCCUGAGAGGGUGACCGGCCACAUUGGGACUGAGAUACGGCCCAGACUCCUACGGGAGGCAGCGGUGGGGAAUAUUGCACAAUGGGCGGAAGCCUGAUGCAGCAACGCCGCGUGCGGGAUGACGGCCUUCGGGUUGUAAACCGCUUUCGCCUGUGACGAAGCGUGAGUGACGGUAAUGGGUAAAGAAGCACCGGCUAACUACGUG